Long non-coding RNA from Notolabrus celidotus (New Zealand spotty), 334 nucleotides. RefSeq lists it as uncharacterized. The record is from RefSeq and is a predicted model, not a curated record. The transcript has 2 exons. Lineage: Eukaryota; Metazoa; Chordata; Actinopteri; Labriformes; Labridae.
AAACCUCUGACCUGUUGACUCCAGGCCUGGCUCCGCCCAUCAUGACUUUGACGCAGCCGGAACGCAACGGAGCGGAUGUGAUGAGAUGCUAUCUUUCAAACCUAACUUGGUGUUAGACCUGUGAAAAUCUGACUAGCCCUUCAUCUCCCACCUGUUUUGGAUUUUUAUUCUGGGUAAUAAUAAUAUGUUUCCACUAUUUUAGCACUAACCAUUUUUGUGCUUUGAAAGUGUAGCAAGCUAACUGGCUAAUGAUUGACAGCUAUCCACCACGUAAGGUUUAUGCUACAUCGCUAGGCUUUAUGUGUAGCCAAAUAAAGAACUGUGAUGUGUUUGA